CAACCAUCAAGCCCCCGGCUUGUGUUGGGGACCUGCGGCACACCCGCAGGCCCUGAAAACCAGUGGCGGGCUCGCUGUCCACACCGAGCGUAGUAGCAUAUCUUGUCUCGCUCAGGGCGUGCGGCGGGUUCCGGCCGUGAAACCCACCUUCUCGAAGGUACCCAAA
RNAcentral lists this unclassified non-coding RNA (166 nucleotides) under Dichotomopilus subfunicola. Its description in RNAcentral is "partial internal transcribed spacer 2". Lineage: Eukaryota; Fungi; Ascomycota; Sordariomycetes; Sordariales; Chaetomiaceae. The record is from RNAcentral.